GUUUGUUUUAGGGUACGCCCUCCAUGUCUAGGCCUCGUCCUCAGCGAAAAAAAUCCUCGACAAUGCCUAAACGUGGGAAGAAGCGGCCAUGGGCGUUGUAGAAUUGUUGAAUGCACUUGAUACACCCAAGGAUUGAGAGAGGGCAGAGGUAAUAGCCAUAGUUGCUCCAUCAAUGGUGCACACUCCUCAGUCUACUGGAGAAGCAUCUGAGGCUCUGGCCCCUUUGCAAUUCGGCCAUAACUUGGAUCCUUUGUAGUUUGUGCUCAAGAAAACUCCUAAGACUAACAAGGAGAAGAGAAAGAAGACAGUAGAUCCUAGAUCAGCAGAUGAUGUAAUCUACAUUUCAAUUACAAAGAAAUUAUGGUUAACUACAUAGUUAUGUUGAUAAUUGUGAACUAUUUUCUACAAAAGGAUUCUAUCUUGGCUUUUGAAUUGUGGUUGUGCAUCCAUCUACAGAGUCGCGUACUGCAUCAAAGAGGCUCAAUUUUGAUGAUCCACCACAAGUAUAGGAUCAUAUAGUGUUAGUUGUGGUCAUUGAAUGACCAAUACAUGUAGAUAUAUUCUACAUUUUUAUUGUAUAUCGAUUUGGACAUGGCAUAUGCCGC
Long non-coding RNA from Cryptomeria japonica (Japanese cedar), 605 nucleotides. RefSeq lists it as uncharacterized. The transcript is spliced from 4 exons. The record is from RefSeq and is a predicted model, not a curated record. Lineage: Eukaryota; Viridiplantae; Streptophyta; Pinopsida; Cupressales; Cupressaceae.